UUUAUAAUCCCUUUCAUGUCUUUGAAGUUGAAUUUAUAGAAUAGCAACGUGAAAUAGAGCACACUGGAGAACUGGAGUGGAGAUGAGUGCCCUCGGUAGGGUCACACGGGCAAAACACGAAGGGAAUGUUAAACACAAGUACCCUGCGCAGCACUGACCACGGCCAACAAGAUCCCACCACACAUUCUGCUAACGUGCUGUGACCACUCUCUCGCUGAUGAGGUGACUUCUGGGAGAUGCGUUUGCCACACGCAAAUUUAAUCACAGCACUGGACCGUUUCAGCCUCAGAGUAAAAAGGCUGCGUGAAAGCACCUGUUGAUGUGAUAAAGGGGUGGAGAGCGAAGGUUAAGAUGAGCACUUGCUUCUGAUUUGAUUGAGGGGGGUUCCAGUUCUUCACAGCAGCUCCUCCUCAGCUCAGCCAUGCGGGAUCAUCAAAGACUCUCCGCUUUGAUCCACUCUUCAAAAGCCUUCACUGGCCUCUUGUCAGUGUCUGCUCUGCUGGUAGUUUAGGCUCUGUGCCACCGCUGUUAAAAUAGCCCAAUUAAUUCACCACACUCUCCAUAUUGAGUUCAUGUUGUCAGUGGUUGAAAAAAAAGAAAUUCCGUAAUGCAGAUUUUGUAUUAAUUCAGAAAAAUGUGGGGAAUUACUUGCACUUGAUGAUGUCAUGAUCCAAUUGUUUUUUCCCUCUACAUUCUUAAAAAUAAA
Molecule: long non-coding RNA, 706 nt
Organism: Sinocyclocheilus rhinocerous
Lineage: Eukaryota; Metazoa; Chordata; Actinopteri; Cypriniformes; Cyprinidae
Exons: 3
Source: RefSeq, a predicted model, not a curated record